RNAcentral lists this transfer RNA (98 nucleotides) under Micromonospora sonchi. RNAcentral describes it as "tRNA-Arg". Lineage: Bacteria; Bacillati; Actinomycetota; Actinomycetes; Micromonosporales; Micromonosporaceae. The record is from RNAcentral.
CGGGCGUGGCGGGCGUGGGAUGCCGCCGACUCGGCCGCGAGCCGGCUCGGCGGUGGGUACGUCCAUCCGUGGCUGAUGUUCGGCUCGGCGGCGUGUGC